RNAcentral lists this transfer RNA (84 nucleotides) under Oreochromis niloticus (Nile tilapia). Its description in RNAcentral is "tRNA-Leu (CAA) (tRNA-Leu-CAA-3-1)". It matches the Rfam family "tRNA". From Rfam's summary of the family: Transfer RNA (tRNA) molecules are approximately 80 nucleotides in length. Their secondary structure includes four short double-helical elements and three loops (D, anti-codon, and T loops). The record is from RNAcentral. RNAcentral also lists the same sequence under 2 other names. Lineage: Eukaryota; Metazoa; Chordata; Actinopteri; Cichliformes; Cichlidae.
GUCAGGAUGGCCGAGUGGUCUAAGGCGCCAGACUCAAGUUCUGGUCUCCAAAUGGAGGCGUGGGUUCAAAUCCCACUCCUGACA